GAAGGUCCAGAAUUACGCCUUGAAGUAUCCCUCAACCGUGAGAUAAGAAAAUUUGUAGUCAAAUUUGGGUCCGAAGUAGUGAAGUUUCAGUUCCUAAGAUUAAUGACUCUGAGAUACGACGAUGGGUUCCCGGCGCCGUUGCCCUCACCGGCAUCGUCGAUCACACCAUCGCCGCCCUCAUCAAAGUCUUCGAUGAAUUAAAUUUAUAUUAUGUAACUAAAAAUAAAUAAUUAAGUAAA
This is a long non-coding RNA of Zophobas morio, 239 nucleotides long. RefSeq lists it as uncharacterized. The transcript is spliced from 2 exons. The record is from RefSeq and is a predicted model, not a curated record. Lineage: Eukaryota; Metazoa; Arthropoda; Insecta; Coleoptera; Tenebrionidae.